UUUGCCAAUUUUGGAAGCAUUUAUUUGUGAAAUUUAUGGAUAUAAAAAUAUAUCAAAUAUAAAUGCAGCACGGUUUCAAAAAUUUUGUGUAACUUACAAAGCUAACACUGAAGAUGAACCUUUCAAAAAAACUUUAAAAAAUUGUGAUCCCUCUACUUUACCUCCGUGCAAAGCUGAAUUACAACAACAUCUUUUAAGAACGCAAUAUAUAACGAGUAUUUGGAGAAAUGCAUAUUUGCGAUUCCCCAGCAGUUUGACACCGAAUAGAAACGGAUGGACACUUCAUGAGGAUACGCUACAUUUCCACUGGUUCGACGGAGAUUGUAUGCCGCAAUCAGUAUUCGACGCUAUUGUUCAUGAAAACAAUAAACAAAAUAAUAUUGGAAAUGAUACUACAGAUAAUGCAGGGGUAUCCGAAUUAGACACAGAUGAAUCUGAAGUUGAUUCUGAUAGCUCUGAUGAAGGAGCAUCUACAGAAGAAGAAUGACAAUUUCUUUCUGAUAUGACAGGGAAUUAAUUACAUUGAUAUUUGUAUACUCAUAAUAAUUCUGCAGCUGUAUUAUUAGUAUAUAAUUUUUCUAUUUCAAUAAAUCUGAUUUUGUAAUUUUA
Bicyclus anynana (squinting bush brown) is the source of this 609-nucleotide long non-coding RNA. RefSeq lists it as uncharacterized. The transcript is spliced from 2 exons. The record is from RefSeq and is a predicted model, not a curated record. Lineage: Eukaryota; Metazoa; Arthropoda; Insecta; Lepidoptera; Nymphalidae.